UACGUAGGGGGCAAGCGUUGUCCGGAAUCAUUGGGCGUAAAGCGCGUGUAGGCGGCCCGAUAAGUCCGCCGUGAAAGCCCAGGGCUCAACCCUGGGAUGCCGGUGGAAACUGUCGGGCUAGAGUCCGGAAGAGGCGAGUGGAAUUCCUGGUGUAGCGGUGAAAUGCGCAGAUAUCAGGAGGAACACCAAUGGCGAAGGCAGCUCGCUGGGACGGUUACUGACGCUGAGACGCGAAAGCGUGGGGAGCGAACAGG
This 254-nucleotide ribosomal RNA is filed under the name uncultured bacterium. RNAcentral describes it as "partial 16S ribosomal RNA". It matches the Rfam family "Bacterial small subunit ribosomal RNA", at positions 524 to 776 of the family's 1533-position model. The record is from RNAcentral.